Molecule: long non-coding RNA, 1046 nt
Filed under: Eucalyptus grandis
Lineage: Eukaryota; Viridiplantae; Streptophyta; Magnoliopsida; Myrtales; Myrtaceae
Description: long non-coding RNA (EGRA_LNC003877)
Source: RNAcentral
AUGGAUUUACAAUUAUAUUAAGACUUUAAGUCAACACUCUAGGGUGGAGGAGUUGUGUUUGUGUGACUGUUUACUGUCAUUGUUAAUUCGACUGUUUUAAGCAAUUGGCAGAUUUAUCCAACAGUAUACCUUAAUUGACAUCUUGAUUUCUUGUCUAGCUUCGAAUUUAGCAGUUACCAAAAUCAUGACUUUGGAACUUCCAUUUUAUAUGCUCUUUUUACUUACAAUGCAUGUUGGCCAUAUAUUGUCAGUUGUUUUUCAUUUAUUUAUUAUAUCAUCGUGGCUUUUUAUGACUUGCCUUGUCAUUUCUUUGACGUACGAUUACAUACUCAAAGAACCCAUUUGGGAAAAGAAAGGAUGGCGGUCAGCUUGUUGCAGCUUCAGGUGCUAAUGGAGCUCCACAGACGAUGACUUAUCAGUAGCUUGAAGGGGAUGUACUCUGUUUCUCAUGCUCAACAAAAUCGAACUACCUCAUCAUAGGAUGCAUCUUGCAGCUGUUCCAUGCAUCCAUUCACCAUCAAGUCAUGAACAUUGGCAUCUCUCUCUACAUGUGGAUGAGACCACCUAGAUAGUUGUAUCACUAACAUGUCAUCUGGCCAUGUUAUAGUUACUGAAGUCAUGCAUUUGUUAAGCAGGACAAACUUUUGCUUGGAUUAGUUUAUAGAGGCUGACAUAUUUAUCUGUAUGUUUGUCUAGUGCAUCAGUCUGCACAAUAUUUGGUUAAUUUGCUUUAGCACCUCAGUUGCCAUUCAGUUCAUUGACAUAAGCAAUCACAAAGUCCAUCAGUAGAUGACAUGUCAUGCAGAUGUAGUGGGCUAUUGAACGCCUAAACAUAUCAUGGACACAAGGAGAUAACAAUAUUCGGACAUUGGAAAAACAUAUCAUUGCUUUAGCACCUCAGUUGCCAUUCAGUUCAUUGACAUAAGCAAUCACAAAGUCCAUCAGUAGAUGACAUGUCAUGCAGAUGUAGUGGGCUAUUGAAGGCCUAAACAUAUCAUGGACACAAGGAGAUAACGAUAUUCGGACAUUGGAAAAACAUAUCAUUG